CUUGUACUUGAAGAAGUUCAAUCAGGAACGAGAGUUCACCGUGAUAUGUGAUACGUGAGCUGGGUUAAGAACGUCUUGAGGCAGUUUGUUCCCUAUCUGCCAUUUUA
Molecule: ribosomal RNA, 107 nt
Filed under: Eimeria brunetti
Lineage: Eukaryota; Apicomplexa; Conoidasida; Eucoccidiorida; Eimeriidae
Description: large subunit ribosomal RNA
Source: RNAcentral